GUACUAGGAGAGCACACCUCCCUGUCUUGUUCCUGCUCUCAGCUUUUCACCAUUGAGAAUGAUGUCAGCUGUGGGUUCCACAUAUACGGCCUUUAUUAUAUUGAUGUAGCUCCCUCGGUGCCACCUAUCUGAAGUGUUUUUAUCAGAAAUGGGUGUUGGAUCUUGCCAGAGGGUUUUUGUGCAUCUGUCAAGAGGAUCGUAUGUUUUGGUUUUCUUCAGUUUUUGAAUGUGGUGUAUCACACUGAUUGAUCUGUGGAUAUUGAAAAAUCCUUGCCUCACUGGGAUAAAUCCCACCUGACCAUGUGUACAAUCCUUUUCAUGUAUUGCUGGAUUCAGUUUGCUAGUGCUUUGUUGAGGAUUUUUGCAUCCAUGCUCAUCAGUGAGAGUGGCCUGUAUUUUUUCUGUGUGUAUGUGUGGUAUCUUUGUUUAGUUGGUAGCAGAGUGAUCAUGGCCUCAUAGAAUGAGUUUGGGAGUGUUCCUCUCUUUGCAAUUUUUUGGAAUAGUUUCAGAAGUGUAGGUAUUACCUCUUUACUAAAUGUCUGAUAGAAUCCGCCUGUGAAGCCAUCUGGUCCUGGACUUUUGUUUGCUGGAAAUGUUUUCAUCAGUUUCAAUUCCAAUACCUAUGUUGAUCCACUCAUCUUCUCUAUUUCAUCUUGUUUUCAUCUUGGAAGACUGUUAUUCCCUAAAAACUUGUCCACUUCUUCUGAAAUCCAACUUUUAAAUUCAGGUCAAACUGAAAGCUAGAAUGUGUGCUCUACAUUAAAAUGAUCAUACGUAGUGAUCAGAUGUGUUUUAGUCCAGGGAGGCAAGGAUGAUUCAAUAUCCACAAAUCAUUCAUUGUGACACACUGCAGUAACAAGUUGCAGCAUAAAAAAUCAUAUGAUCAGCUCCCAGAUGCAUAAAAUAUUUUGACAAAAUUCAACAUUAAUUUGGGAUAAAAACACUCAAGAAAGUAGGUAUAGAAGCAACAUACCUCAGGGUAGUAAAGGACGUAUAAAACACAGCCACAGCUAUCGUCAUAUUCAAUGCAGGAAAGCUGAAAGCAUUUCCUCUAAGCUAAACAAAAAGACAAGGAUGCCUAUUCUCAUCACUUCUAUUAAAUAUAGUAUUGGAAGUCUUAGAAUCAUUAGAAAGACAAUGUUAAAAAAAAAACCAAGGAGUUCCCAUCAUGGCUCAUGGUUAACAAACCCAACUAGCAUCCUUGAGGAUGCGGGUUCGAUCCCUGGCCUCACUCAUUGGGUUAAGGAUCCAGUAUUGCCGUGAGCUGUAGUGUAGGUUGCAGACAUGGCUUGAAUCUGGUGUUGCUGUGGCUAUGGUGUAGGCCGGCAGCUGCAGCUACAAUUAGACCCCUAGCCUGGGAAUCUCCAUAUGCAGCAUAUAUGGCCCUAAAAAAGACAAAAAGGCAAAAAAAAAAAAAAAGGAGAAAGGAAAGGGAACCAAAUUGCCAAGGAGUAAGUAAAUCUUUCCCAUUUACAGAUGACACGAUGCUCUAUAAAGAAUACGUACUCUUUACCGCUACUGUCGCCGAGUCAGUUUCAGGAUUUCAGUGCCUCCUGAAGACCCACGUUUCCCAGCUAGUCCCCACCCUCAGCACUCUGCCUAAAGCUGCUAAGCACCACGCCUGGCCCUGAGCACCCGGCCAGCCCGCAGGAUCUCCAUUUCCCCCCAUGUGCCCCCAACGACUAACACAGGUGGUCUCACCGCAUGAAUCCCUAUCAAGUGCGUCCACUUGUCUCCAGCUCCACACUACAACAGCUGUCCUAACUGACUUUCCUAGAUGCGUAACUGGCCUUCCACACAGCAGCCAGAGUGAGUUGUUUAUUUCAACACUUUAAUACCAUUUGUUUCAAUGCCAUCAAAGAGUUACUCCCGCUUAGUUAAAAUGGCUCAAAGGGAAAACGAUAGUCCAUUCCCUCUUCCUUUACAGAUGCACCUCCCUGCCCGGAACCACUUUUGAGUCUGUUUCAUGAUUAAUAUUCCUCAGUAUCUGUAGAUAUGUUUUAAUAAAGAAGAAUUGGUAUUUCUAUACAUAUUCUGGUUAUUUUCCCAUUUAUUUUAUUUGAAGAUAACUGGUAGGAAAAAUGGUGGUUUUUUUCACGUCUGAGGUAAUCUUUACAGAUUAUAUUUGUUGAAUUUAUUUUGACAAGGAGCAAACAGGAUAAUCAAUGAGUUAACUAUCAAUAGGAAAUAAAUUUUAAUUUUAUAAUCUUUUGAAAAGAAAAAGAAAAAUAAUCAUUUCUCAGCGCCUGAAAGUAAAAAAAAAAAAAAAA
RNAcentral lists this long non-coding RNA (2270 nucleotides) under Sus scrofa (pig). RNAcentral's name for it is "lncRNA (ENSSSCG00040024173.1)". The record is from RNAcentral. Lineage: Eukaryota; Metazoa; Chordata; Mammalia; Artiodactyla; Suidae.